ACUCAAAGGAAUUGACGGGGGCCCGCACAAGCGGUGGAGCAUGUGGUUCAAUUCGACGCAACGCGAAGAACCUUACCUGGGCUCGAACGGCUGUGGCCAUUCCUGGAAACAGGGAUUUCCCGCAAGGGACCGCAGCCGAGGUGCUGCAUGGCUGUCGUCAGCUCGUGUCGUGAGAUGUUGGGUUAAGUCCCGCAACGAGCGCAACCCUCGUCCUGUGUUGCUAACCGAAAGGUGCACUCUCAGGAGACCGCCGGCGAUAAGCUGGAGGAAGGUGGGGAUGACGUCAAGUCCUCAUGGCCUUUAUGUCCAGGGCUACACACGUGCUACAAUGGACGGUACAAAGCGCUGCAAACCCGCGAGGGGGAGCUAAUCGCAAAAAACCGUUCUCAGUUCGGAUCGCAGGCUGCAACUCGCCUGCGUGAAGCUGGAAUCGCUAGUAAUGGCGCAUCAGAACGGCGCCGUGAAUACGUUCCCGGGCCUUGCACACACCGCCCGU
This 496-nucleotide ribosomal RNA is filed under the name uncultured bacterium. RNAcentral describes it as "partial 16S ribosomal RNA". It matches the Rfam family "Bacterial small subunit ribosomal RNA", at positions 899 to 1397 of the family's 1533-position model. The record is from RNAcentral.